Molecule: long non-coding RNA, 760 nt
Organism: Bos indicus x Bos taurus (hybrid cattle)
Lineage: Eukaryota; Metazoa; Chordata; Mammalia; Artiodactyla; Bovidae
Source: Ensembl
GAUCAUAACGAAAGCUGAGCACCGAAGAAUUGAUGCUUUUGAACUGUGGUGUUGAAGAAGACUCCUGAGAAUCCCUUGGACUGCAAGGAGAUCCAACCAGUCCAUCCUAAAGGAAAUCAGUCCUAGAUAUUCAUUGGAUGGACUGAUGCUGAAGCUGAAGUUCCAGUACUUUGGCCACCUGAUGUAAAGAAGUGACUUAUCAGAAAAGACACUGAUGCUGGGAAAGAUUGAAGGCAGGAGGAGAAGGGGAUGACAGAGGAUGAGAUGGUUGGAUGCCAUCACUGACUUGAUGGAUGUGAGUUUGAGCGAGCUCCAGGAGUUGGUGAUCGACGGAGAAGUCUGGCGUGCUGCAGUUCAUGAGGUCAGAAAGAAUCAGACUCAACUGAGGGACUGAACUGAACUGAAAUGAGGCAGAACCAGGAUCCUGUCCUAAGGCCGCGCUAUUGUUCUUGGCUACUCCUCCCUUGUUUUGCAUCCUCUCUCUUCCCUAAUUAGCAACUGUUUGAAUCUGUCUUUCAGGACUCAGGGAAGGUCAUGGAGGCUAGAAUCUGUUCCCUACAAACAAUGAUUGGGGGACACGGACACAGAAACACUUCUGUGCUCAUGAGCUGCACAGGAUCCUGCUCAGUUUCAGUACAGGACACCAAAGACAGGCAAUUUGCUGCCAUAACUGUGCUUUUCCUCUAAAAGGAGAAGUUUCUCUUCAACUUGAUUUGAAUAGGCACUGAAUAAACACAGCUGUUUUACUUUAACUUUGGCA